Molecule: long non-coding RNA, 670 nt
Filed under: Glycine max (soybean)
Lineage: Eukaryota; Viridiplantae; Streptophyta; Magnoliopsida; Fabales; Fabaceae
Description: long non-coding RNA (GMAX_LNC001904)
Source: RNAcentral
ACAAAGCAAAUAAUGAAGUGCAUUAAGUAAUACCCAUGAUCCUAUGAGAUUCCCUUUCUUGCGUUUGAAAGUAUUUUUCUUCCUUUUGUUUUUGGACCAUUAUAAAAAAUGUUGUGAGUAAACUCAUUAAAAUGGCCCAUUACCAAAAAAUAAUUUUAGCAACCAGCAAGGUUGUUGCUUCAUGUACCUCCUUUUUGGCUUUCGGAAUGUCAAUCUGACGCUCUUUUUUUGGCUUCCAGAAUGACCAAUCUGAAAGAUAAAAAAAGACAUUUUGAAAAGGAUGCAAGAAAUAAAAUGGGUGAUUUUAAUGAAGCAUUUGCACCCAAUAACCCCCUCCAUCCUCCAUAUUUACAUUCAAGAACUUGCACCCACAAUGCUUCUUAUUGAAAGAACAAGUUUCAUCUCCACACUCCUAGCAAUGCCUCAUUGAAUUGGGACAAGUUUCUAAAGGGGUAGAAAGGAUAUCACUGAAUUGAUCAAUGACACCCUUCUUGCAAGUGACAAGGUUUUAUGCUUCCAAGUCUCCUCCUUCCUUCGAUUAGCACCUAUGGGAAGUCCAAGAUAUGUGAACAACAAUUUUGAGUUUGCAAUUCAAAACCCUAGCAUAAGUCUCCAACAUCGGUCCCUCCACUCCCAAUGCUCCAAAGAAACUUUUUAUGAAAAUUUACUU